RNAcentral lists this ribosomal RNA (487 nucleotides) under Anoplophora glabripennis (Asian longhorned beetle). RNAcentral describes it as "partial 16S ribosomal RNA". The stretch from base 364 to 487 matches the Rfam family "Bacterial large subunit ribosomal RNA", at positions 2473 to 2596 of the family's 2925-position model. Lineage: Eukaryota; Metazoa; Arthropoda; Insecta; Coleoptera; Cerambycidae. The record is from RNAcentral.
GGCUUUUUGAUAAUAAUUUAAGGUCUGGCCUGCCCAUUGAGUAAUUUUAGCUAAGGUAGCAUAAUCAUUAGUUUUUUAAUUGGAAGCUGGAAUGAAUGGUCGGAUGAAAAAAUAACUGUCUCUAUUUAAUUUUAGAUGAAUUUUAUUUUUAAGUAAAAAAGCUUAAAUAUAUUUAAAAGACGAGAAGACCCUAUAGAGUUUUAUAAAAUUUAAUUUUUAAUUUUUUUAGGAUUAUUAUUUUGUAAGUUAAAUUUUAUUUGAUUGGGGCGAUUGAAAAAUUUAAUUAACUUUUUUUAUAAAUUUUACAUUAAUUAAUGAAUAAUUGAUCCAUAAAUAAUGAUCAAAAGAUUAAAUUACCUUAGGGAUAACAGCGUAAUUUUUUUUAAGAGUUCUAAUCGAAAAAAAAGUUUGCGACCUCGAUGUUGGAUUAAAAUUAAUUUUUGGUGUAAAAGCUAAGAAUUUUAGGUCUGUUCGACCUUUAAAAUUU